Molecule: long non-coding RNA, 743 nt
Organism: Catharus ustulatus (Swainson's thrush)
Lineage: Eukaryota; Metazoa; Chordata; Aves; Passeriformes; Turdidae
Exons: 3
Source: RefSeq, a predicted model, not a curated record
UCUUCACAUCCAAUAAUGUCUGGACUUUCUGAAGAUGUAAUAGGACUGGAAAACUAAUCUUGGAACAAAUUUUUCAAAGCAAAACACACCCGGGAUUUACUCAGGACCUGAUCCAAAUUCCCCUGGGAUAGUCAAGAGCCAGUUGGUGGCUUCAGCCUCAUUUGACUCUCCUGUGCUGUCUGCAGUUGUUCCAAGCUCAGCUGAUCCUCUCACGCUGGCUCAAGGAAAGUGAUCAUAAUCCUCAAAGUGUUCCAGGGAGGAUAAGAGCAGGAUUUGAUGCUACAGGAGUUCACCUUCUUUACAACAUCUUUUGGGAUUUGUCUCAAAGAGGCCAGACAAGCUGGAAGUGACUUUUUGGAAGCCGCCUCAUGACUUUCUGCCUGGAUUGCAUGUGAUGUGAGUAUGUCUCUCCUCGUACCCAUAACCUCUGAAGACUGGCAACAGGAUGUCAUACACCUGUUUUGCUCAAGGCUGGGACUCGGAGCCCUGCGCGAGGUUGUGUCGGCAUUGGCUCGCUCGCCGCUUUGCUCAACGUAUAUGUCAGAAUGUCAGAUGAUCGUUGUUGUAUCUGCAGCUGUUGCAUGAGCACAGUGCCAGGGGCACAACUUUCCUGCAGUGAGCUUUAAUUUGCUCUCCCCUCCCUGAAGAGCUCCCGCGCUUCACCUUGCUGCUGCUACUGCUGCUGCUGCUGCAGCUGGAGGAGAGCUCAGCCCGCGUGCAGCUGAGGCUGCGGCAGGGAGGGA